Labrus bergylta (ballan wrasse) is the source of this 429-nucleotide non-coding RNA. Lineage: Eukaryota; Metazoa; Chordata; Actinopteri; Labriformes; Labridae. The record is from RefSeq and is a predicted model, not a curated record.
GGUUUCUGUAGCUCCACCCGUCCCUCCGUCACAGAGACGUCUUCUGACGGUGUGAACGCUCCGUCCUGAUGUGAUUUUGACAGUGUGACUCUGGGGUCGUGGCAGAUAUUCAGCAGGAAACCGGAAGUAUUCGUCGAACAGUUCAGGGACCGAAUGCCGAACAAAGAAGGCCGUCUCAUUCAGCGGUGGGAGACGGUCCUUCACUGAGCUGCGACUCUGUGUUAAAGAAUCAUCUGUUAUUAUGUGGUCGAAGUAAGAGCUUUGCUCAUAAAGACAGACCUAUAGGUAGGUUAUCUAUACAGUGUUGUUACUUAGGCCUAAGUCUGAGGGGGCUCAGUAUGUUGUCUGUAAAGUUGUUGGUUUGUAACUGUCAGACUGUUUGGAGGUUAACUCCUCCAGCUCUUUAAAUAAAUAUAUUUUGUUUACAAA